RNAcentral lists this ribosomal RNA (197 nucleotides) under uncultured bacterium. Its description in RNAcentral is "partial 16S ribosomal RNA". It matches the Rfam family "Bacterial small subunit ribosomal RNA", at positions 328 to 539 of the family's 1533-position model. The record is from RNAcentral.
ACGCUCGACACCUACGGAGGCAGCAGUGGGGGAUAUUGCACAAUGGGGGAAACCCUGAUGCAGCAACGCCGCGUGAAGGAAGAAGGUCUUCGGAUUGUAAACUUCUGUCCUCAGGGAAGAUAAUGACGGUACCUGAGGAGGAAGCUCCGGCUAACUACGUGCUAGCAGCCGCGGUAAUCUGAGCGGGCUGGCAAGGC